Molecule: long non-coding RNA, 357 nt
Organism: Grammomys surdaster
Lineage: Eukaryota; Metazoa; Chordata; Mammalia; Rodentia; Muridae
Exons: 4
Source: RefSeq, a predicted model, not a curated record
CACAGUUCUCUUGAGGAUUUAUGAGUCUGAUGCCAAAACAUUGAGAUUACGCACAGAGGGACCUACCCUUCAAGAAGAUAUGUUUGUGAAUCUCUGUGCAUUUCUUCAUACACCUUGAGACAAGAAGAGGGAGUUAGAUGCUCUGAUGUUGGAGUUAUCCAUGACUGCGUCAUCUGUGAGAGCAUGGCAACUGAACUGGGUGCUCUGUAAGAUCAGAGAUUACCCUAGCCUCCUUGUGACAUCAUGGGCCAUGAGCUGGAUGUGAUUUCAUUAUCUACAAGUGACUGGAACCUGAUUUCACCAGAAUAAAAGUAUCUUGUAACCAAAACCACUGGAAUGCUCUGUGAUUAGCUGGGG